RNAcentral lists this ribosomal RNA (472 nucleotides) under Pseudomonas sp. 'Disko Bay 79'. RNAcentral describes it as "bacterial SSU rRNA". It matches the Rfam family "Bacterial small subunit ribosomal RNA", at positions 20 to 486 of the family's 1533-position model. The record is from RNAcentral. Lineage: Bacteria; Pseudomonadati; Pseudomonadota; Gammaproteobacteria; Pseudomonadales; Pseudomonadaceae.
UGGCUCAGAUUGAACGCUGGCGGCAGGCCUAACACAUGCAAGUCGAGCGGUAGAAGGAAGCUUGCUUCCUUUGAGAGCGGCGGACGGGUGAGUAAUGCCUAGGAAUCUGCCUGGUAGUGGGGGAUAACGUUCGGAAACGGACGCUAAUACCGCAUACGUCCUACGGGAGAAAGUGGGGGAUCUUCGGACCUCACGCUAUCAGAUGAGCCUAGGUCGGAUUAGCUUGUUGGUGAGGUAAUGGCUCACCAAGGCAACGAUCCGUAACUGGUCUGAGAGGAUGAUCAGUCACACUGGAACUGAGACACGGUCCAGACUCCUACGGGAGGCAGCAGUGGGGAAUAUUGGACAAUGGGCGCAAGCCUGAUCCAGCCAUGCCGCGUGUGUGAAGAAGGUCUUCGGAUUGUAAAGCACUUUAAGUUGGGAGGAAGGGUUGUAGCCUAAUACGCUGCAACUUCGACGCUUACCGACAGAA